AUGGCAAGCCUGCAGAGCUUGAUUUCCAAACAGUUGAUUGCGCCGAACUGUACGGCUAGUGCCAGGCUGAAUGGGGCUCCUCCUUCGGUGGUGAACGCGAGCUCGAGCGAAGCAUCCUCGGAUGAGAAGAAGGUCACAAAAAGGAGAUUAGCACUGCUUGGUGCUGGGGCAUUAUCCACUGUCCUAUUAAACAGCAGCUCUGCAUAUGCUGAAGAAGUACCAAAGAACUACAGCUCUUACGUCGAUGCAAACGACGGAUAUUCAUACCUCUACCCAGCUGAUUGGAGGGAUUUCGACUUCUUGGGCCAUGAUUCAGCGUUCAAGGACCGUAAUGUGCAGCUGCAGUCUGUCCGUGUGGCCUUCGUUCCUACUCAGAAAACAGACAUUCGUGACCUAGGCCCAAUGGAUGAGGCGAUCUUCAAUUUGGUAACCGAAGUGUACGCUGCCCCGAACCAGAUACCAACGAUCUAUGAAAUGCAAGAGCGUACGGUGGAUGGCAGGAACUACUGGACAUUUGAGUACGAUCUGGAGGCGCCGGGCUACGGCGUGUCGGCGUUUGCGACGGUCGCCAUCGGGAACGGGAGGUACUACACGCUGAUCGUGACGGCUAACGAGCGGCGGUGGAGCAGGCUGCGCAACAAGCUCAAAGUCGUCGCCGACUCCUUCAAGAUCUCGGACUUGAACGCGUGA
Molecule: ribosomal RNA, 690 nt
Filed under: Triticum aestivum (bread wheat)
Lineage: Eukaryota; Viridiplantae; Streptophyta; Magnoliopsida; Poales; Poaceae
Description: partial small subunit ribosomal RNA
Source: RNAcentral